Molecule: long non-coding RNA, 807 nt
Organism: Gasterosteus aculeatus aculeatus (three-spined stickleback)
Lineage: Eukaryota; Metazoa; Chordata; Actinopteri; Perciformes; Gasterosteidae
Source: RefSeq, a predicted model, not a curated record
UAAUGUUCUGCUGUUGGAGGACGGCUACCGUUGCAGAUGACAGCUGAGUACCAACACAGACAGACAAAAACAACAUUGCUCCUGAGACAACCCUGAGGAAACCCAGAUUCUCGGCUAAAGAUCUACAACCUGAGAGAAAUGGUGUGAUUAAUCAUCAAUGCCUCCAGGUAUGUGGUGUUGAAGAUCCGGGCUGCAGUGAGAGGAAAUGGGCAGCCACGGAAAACCAGCACCUCCACCUGUAACCAGGCAAAAGGAGAAAUGGAUGGCAGGCGGAGCGCUGAAGGUUCAGCGUUGGUUCCCCAACGGACACAGACAGCGGAUGUCGUGCUGAAGGAAGAGUGUGGCUCGUGAAAAUAAAGUGAGCGCUUGAGAGUAGUGUGGAAGGUCUAUAAUGAGGAAACAAACACAAUUCACACACACAUAAAAAACAAAGACAGACUCUUCAAAUAUAAUUAAAAUAGAAGCAAUUCCACAAGGCUGAUUUAUCUAAAUGUCAUCUUCCCCUUUGGAUCCCUGGCAUGUAUGUGUCGGUUCUUUCCGAAGUCUCACCACCAAAAAACCCUGACAAAUAUAUACUGAACUGCAUUACACUCCCACCUGCUCCCAGCUCUCGUUUAUUUCCACGCUUGUUCUGCAUCCAGUGCCAAGAUAGUUGCAGAGAGGAUGAAAGCCUGAUCCUCAAUUCCUCAGAAGAGGAAUGGAUCAGUCUGGAUAAAUAUUGAAGACUCUGCUGAUAAAGUUGUGCCAAGUCGUAUAUUCAUGUUCAAAAAAUGUUUAAACUAUUAAUUAAAGCAAAAAGCACAGUUA